Molecule: long non-coding RNA, 1801 nt
Organism: Hyla sarda
Lineage: Eukaryota; Metazoa; Chordata; Amphibia; Anura; Hylidae
Exons: 3
Source: RefSeq, a predicted model, not a curated record
ACGAUCGGGUAGUAAUACUCUCAUUGUGCAAGAUCCUUCCUCUGCUUCUUUGCUUCCUGUAACAGAAAACCUCUGCCUAUAAAGUAAUGACCGCAUUAUAUACGAAGAAACAGGUCUGCAGUAAGUGUCUGAACGGACAACACUUACUGGAAAUCUAGUUCAUAUUAGAUUUUUCUAUUUUUUCUGGUAGACAACCUUUAUUGGGGUACUUACAAGUCAUAGAAAAAAAAGAGUCUAUACUACCCCUUACUACUAUAAGCCAGAAAGUAAAGCUGCUACAACAAGGGCCUAAAAGGGUACUCCAGCGUUUAACUACUAAUUCACUAUCCACAGGAUAGAAGUGUGUGAUCGCUGGGGGCUCCAACCUUUGGAAGCCUCUGUGAUCCUCAGAACAAGGGCCUAAAUUUCCCAGCUGCAAGGUGCACCAUGCAUCCUCUGGGGGGCGCCAGAGGUAACAGAGUGCAGAGCUUGUGUAUCUCUGGCACUUCCAUAGAGAAUGCAUGGAGCUUGUGCCGACCCUGCACUCCAUGCAGCUGGGAGAUUCAGGGCCUAGAGGUCAGAUUCCCCACAAUCAAACACUUAUCCCCUAUCCAAAGGAUAGGAAGUCAUUGUUAAGUGGAGAUCGGUCUUUUUUGUUCUGCUUCUUCAUGAAGCAGCCUAUUCCUGCAACUGUAAGCAGGUAUGACAGCAAUAUUUUUAAAGAGUUACUACCAUCUGCUAUAAAAAUCCUUAUUUCAGAACUAUUAGUAUCAUGUCCUCACCAAGACCAUUGAGGACGUGAGCAUUAUUUGUGCUCCAUGCUGCACUCCUCUUGCAGUGUAUACACACAACUUGUCAGUGUAUUUGCCCUCUCACCUAAAGUAAUAACUGCGAGUCAGGUUGUAUGGUGCAUAUAUCAAAGUAACAGGACCAAGAUGAUAUCCCGUAAUAUGCCCAAAAUAAUGUUUACAAAAUUUGAACCCCCCCCCCCAAAUUCACUAAAAUAACAAACUGUUACUUAACUCUGCCGCCAUUCCCACAUCAAUCCACCAUUCUGCAUCUGGUGACCUCUUGAGCCAGUCAGCGGCCUUGACCGUCAUUCUUUGCACUCCUGGCACCAGGGCCCCUGUCACUGAGCAUUUAAACCAGGAAUACAGAGCGUGACCGCCAAGGCUGCCAAUUAGCUGCAGUGGUCACAUGACAUACACGGCUGAAGUAACACUAGAGCGCCGACUGGAGGCAGAAUGGAAUAUCAGAGCAGGGACAGAGAUACAGCAAUAAAUCUGGAAAGGCCAGCAGAAAUCCCUGAAGUCGAACGUGAACAGAGCCUUACAGAAGUACCAAAGACAGUAAUAAGAUGAUUUGCUGCCCAUUGACUUCACAUCAAUCUCUGUCCCCAGUGGGGUUCAUAAUCUAAUUUCCCUAUCUCAGGCACACACCUCAGGUAAUCUCAAUUUUGAAUGCUGAAGGAAAGCCAUGCAUAAAAAACUCCAAGCAAACAUGGCUCUUGCAUACCCCAGAACCACCAUGCUGCCCAACAAAGAGGAAGAUUUAUCAAAACAUGUGCAGGUGAAGAGAGACGCAGUUGCCCAUAGCAACCAUACAACGUUUUUUUUUUUUUUAAAUGGAAGAAGUUAUUUAAUUGGUUGCUAUGGGCAACUGCACCACUUUUCUUCUACAGUGUUUGUAAUAUCUAAUGGAUAAAGAAUGGACAUUGAGCCAACACAGAAAACAGUCAUCCAUCCCUACAAGUUAUUUGUGUAUAGUCUCUGUGUGAAUUCACAUAAAUUAGACGAUUCCAGCUGACAGGAACCCAUAUGGA